Molecule: microRNA, 22 nt
Filed under: Branchiostoma floridae (Florida lancelet)
Lineage: Eukaryota; Metazoa; Chordata; Leptocardii; Amphioxiformes; Branchiostomatidae
Also listed under: 1 other name
Description: Bfl-Mir-4887_5p (mature (guide))
Source: RNAcentral
UUCUCGAUUGUUCUGGUCCAUC